GUGUGCAACAUAUGUCAAUAAGACUGUAUCCCAACAACACAACAAAACAAAAAUGUUAAUAAGAAAAACAGACAAAAAAUAAUAGAGAAUGAGAGAGAAUGCAAACAGAUUUUGGCAGUAUAAAAUACCAUGUUUUCAUUUGUAAAAAGAAAUAUAAAGUUUUCAUAAUCAGUGUCCAGAAAUUAGAACGUCAAAUUUUGAGGACUGCAUGCAAAUAAAAGCAACCUAUAUGUUGUCAGAGCUACCUUCAAAAAUAAUAAAUUCAGAGCUCUUCAGAAUUGAAGAAGAAAAUUUAGAAAAGAAAGAUUUAAAAUAUGUGCGUCAGUCAUUGUAUAAAGAGAGAAGAAAACUGCGGCCGGCUUAACUUAAAAAUCAAGCAGAAUUUCACAGAAUAUUGGAUGGUAUAGCUGUUGUUACAAACAAAGAUGAUGACUUUGUAUUGUGUAACUAUCCAGAAAGCGGG
This 463-nucleotide long non-coding RNA is filed under the name Mytilus galloprovincialis (Mediterranean mussel). The record is from RNAcentral. Lineage: Eukaryota; Metazoa; Mollusca; Bivalvia; Mytilida; Mytilidae.